CUUUUCUCUGCUGUUUUAGCUUCAGUCCUCAGAGGCUCUCUCCUGGUUGCUGAACUAAGCAUUAUGGUUCUCUACGGAGGCUGUGAUGAAUGGGAAUCUGCCAGAUCUAUGACAAACCGGGUGCAUUUCUGCAGAUCCACAUGUCGAGGCUGCAGCAUUCGUGGAGCCCAGUGGUCCCCGGGCCUGUCACCACAUUAGAGGCUCUACUGGGACACAUCACUGAGCACCUCCUCCAGCUGCUGGGGGUGGCCGAGCACCAGAGGGGGAGGAAAGAAGGCACUGGGAGGGAGGAAGUGCGGGGGUUUCUAGUGGGGGGGGGGGGGGGGUAUCUCAAGAAAUAAUUCUUGCUUGGCCAGUCGCAAAGUCGUAGCUGUAGAUAGAGGGAGGGUUGAUGCCUGUGUGUGUGUGUGUGGCACAGGGGAAUGGGGUCCAGGGUCAGAUGUCGCCUGAUGACUGACAGCAACAGGCUUAAAAUCAUUCACCCAAACUUACUGUCUUCUCAGGUACAUUGUUUGAAAUUUCAGCAUAACAGCAGUAAAGUAACACUUCCAGUGUGCUUUUACUGUUUCACACAUAAGUCAAAGUUGUCAUCAUGUAUUGUUAAAGUGUUACAGGGAGAGUUUUCCAGCUUUUCCGGACUUGGCUUCACUUUAAAAGCACAAGUUUGGAGUCAAAACUCCCUGACUGUAUAUCAUAGGAUGUCAGAGUCAAGCUGUUGCAUUUGGACUGUAACACAGAAGUCACUGUAUCGCUGCUUCUGCUGGGAGAACUGUGGAAUAUUUACACUUCACAGAUUGUCGAGCAUCAUUCAAAAUCUUCUCACUCAGACCGCCUGCCAACAUAUCUGCUCAUGUGUCUGUGCAUCUGUAACCACUUUCAGACAAAUUAUGAAAAGCAGGCUUUAAAUUCUUCCUUUUGUCUGAUAAUAAAUCAUUUUAGACCCAUCGGACCUUCACUCUCCAUCAUCCUCAUCCCUUUGUGUUUCUCCUUCAUGGUCAUCUGCUAAUCUGUAAACAUACAAAAUUGCCUGUCUAAUCUUAUUUAGCCUUCACGUCUUGUUUACUUUUGAUUUAGUCGUGCCGUGAAGGCACGGCUGCCACGCUGUGAAUGAGGCAUUGUCUGCAGACCCACAGAUCUAAUCUCCCCCUCUAACCCACAGCCUGCCCACUCCUGCCCCUUCUACCUCGAGCCCCGAUAGCCACAUGCAGGUAUUGUACCUAUCAGAUGCCUCUUGAAUUCACUUCCAUGCUAAGCUGGGGACAAAAAAGAGAGAGCAAUAGAGCUUGUUUUCCAGGGAAAUGUGUGUGACUUUCAUAUUUCUCUCAUUAAAGCCAGAGUGUAGUUUC
Molecule: long non-coding RNA, 1346 nt
Organism: Micropterus salmoides (largemouth bass)
Lineage: Eukaryota; Metazoa; Chordata; Actinopteri; Centrarchiformes; Centrarchidae
Exons: 2
Source: RefSeq, a predicted model, not a curated record